GUGAGGAAUUUUCCGCAAUGGGCGAAAGCCUGACGGAGCAAUGCCGCGUGAAGGAUGAUGGCCUAUGGGUUGUAAACUUCUUUUCUCAGAAAAGAAUUAUGACGGUAUCUGAGGAAUAAGCAUCGGCUAACUCUGUGCCAGCAGCCGCGGUAAGACAGAGGAUGCAAGCGUUAUCCGGAAUGAUUGGGCGUAAAGCGUCUGUAGGUUGUUUAAAAAGUAUUCUGUGAAAGAUUAGGGCUUAACCCUAGAUAGGCAGAAUAAACUUUUAAGCUAGAGUUUGGUAGGGGCAGAGGGAAUGCCCGGUGGAGCGGUGAAAUGCGUAGAUAUCGGUAGGAACACCAAAGGCGAAGGAACUCUGCUGGGCCAAUACUAACACUGAGAGACGAAAGCGAGGGGAGCAAAUGGGAUUAGAUACCCUUGUAGUCC
This 426-nucleotide ribosomal RNA is filed under the name uncultured bacterium. RNAcentral describes it as "partial 16S ribosomal RNA". It matches the Rfam family "Bacterial small subunit ribosomal RNA", at positions 354 to 796 of the family's 1533-position model. The record is from RNAcentral.